This 405-nucleotide ribosomal RNA is filed under the name Alcanivorax sp. Ar-17. RNAcentral's name for it is "bacterial SSU rRNA". It matches the Rfam family "Bacterial small subunit ribosomal RNA", at positions 126 to 525 of the family's 1533-position model. Lineage: Bacteria; Pseudomonadati; Pseudomonadota; Gammaproteobacteria; Oceanospirillales; Alcanivoracaceae. The record is from RNAcentral.
CUGCCCAUUUCGUGGGGGAUAACUCGGGGAAACUCGAGCUAAUACCGCAUAAUCCCUACGGGGGAAAGCAGGGGACCUUCGGGCCUUGUGCAGAUGGAUGAGCUCGCGUCGGAUUAGCUUGUUGGUGAGGUAAAGGCUCACCAAGGCGACGAUCCGUAGCUGGUCUGAGAGGAUGAUCAGCCACACCGGGACUGAGACACGGCCCGGACUCCUACGGGAGGCAGCAGUGGGGAAUCUUGGACAAUGGGGGCAACCCUGAUCCAGCCAUGCCGCGUGUGUGAAGAAGGCCUUCGGGUUGUAAAGCACUUUCAGUAGGGAGGAAGGCUUACCGCUAAUAACGGUGAGUACUUGACGUUACCUACAGAAGAAGCACCGGCUAAUUUCGUGCCAGCAGCCGCGGUAAUA